UACGUAGGGUGCGAGCGUUAAUCGGAAUUACUGGGCGUAAAGCGUGCGUAGGCGGUUCGUUAAGUUCGUUGUGAAAGCCCCGGGCUCAACCUGGGAAUGGCAAUGGAAACUGGCGGGCUUGAGUGUGGCAGAGGGGGGUGGAAUUCCGCGUGUAGCAGUGAAAUGCGUAGAGAUGCGGAGGAACACCGAUGGCGAAGGCAGCCCCCUGGGCCAACACUGACGCUCAGGCACGAAAGCGUGGGGAGCAAACAGG
RNAcentral lists this ribosomal RNA (253 nucleotides) under uncultured bacterium. RNAcentral describes it as "partial 16S ribosomal RNA". It matches the Rfam family "Bacterial small subunit ribosomal RNA", at positions 524 to 776 of the family's 1533-position model. The record is from RNAcentral.